AGCGAACGUUAGCGGCGGGCUUAACACAUGCAAGUCGAACGAGAAAGGGGCUUCGGCCCUGAGUAAAGUGGCGCACGGGUGAGUAACACGUGGGUAACCUGCCUCUAAGAUUGGGAUAACCUGUCGAAAGACGAGCUAAUACCAAAUAAGACCACAGUUCUCUCGAGGACAGAGGUCAAAGGUAGCCUCUAUUUAUAAGCUAUCGCUCAGAGAUGGGCCUGCGCACCAUAGCUAGUUGGUAGGGUAAAAGCCCACCAAGGCGACGAUCUGUAGCUGGUCUGAGAGGACGACCAGCCACACUGGGACUGAGACACGGCCCAGACUCCUACGGGAGGCAGCAGU
RNAcentral lists this ribosomal RNA (342 nucleotides) under uncultured bacterium. Its description in RNAcentral is "bacterial SSU rRNA". It matches the Rfam family "Bacterial small subunit ribosomal RNA", at positions 29 to 355 of the family's 1533-position model. The record is from RNAcentral.